CAGCCCUAAACGAUGCGCGUUAGGUGUAUCGGUGACCACGAGUCACCGAGGUGCCGAAGGGAAACCGUGAAACGUGCCGCCUGGGAAGUACGGUCGCAAGGCUGAAACUUAAAGGAAUUGGCGGGGGGAGGCACCACAACGGGUGGGAGCCUGCGGUUUAAUUGGACUCAACGCCGGGAAGCUCACCGGAUAAGACAGCGGAAUGAUUGCCGGGCUGAAGACCCUGCAUGACCAGCUGAGAGGAGGUGCAUGGCGUCAGUGACU
Molecule: ribosomal RNA, 264 nt
Filed under: uncultured archaeon
Lineage: Archaea
Description: partial 16S ribosomal RNA
Rfam family: Archaeal small subunit ribosomal RNA
Source: RNAcentral